RNAcentral lists this unclassified non-coding RNA (248 nucleotides) under Hevea brasiliensis (rubber tree). The record is from RNAcentral. Lineage: Eukaryota; Viridiplantae; Streptophyta; Magnoliopsida; Malpighiales; Euphorbiaceae.
GCCCAACUUUCAACAAGUAUUCAUUCCUAAUCAAGCAUUUUCAAAAUCUAUAACCCCCUUACAGAACUUUGCCAAACCUCAACAGAUUGCUGAUCCUUCCUUAAUCGACCAACACCCUUUGUGGGUUNNNNNNNNNNUUCUUGAUCCUCCCAUAUCUUGCUCUCCCCAUCAAAUUCCUCUUGAAGACCCUAUUUGGCAACCCAUCUUCGCUUUUCUUGAAAGAAUUCAUGGCAACCUCAGACCAAAGC